GUGGUUGGGGUGAGGACUGGAUUGGUGGUGUCAACAUCUUCAGAAUGAUGAAAGACUUUAGGCCAGAGGUGACUUUCAAGAUCUCCCUUCAUCUGUCUUUCUUUCUUCAGCUUGAGACAGUUGCCUUGUGUGGACCUGAGAAAGAAAACAAGGAUUUUCAAGUCUCCAAUUCCUGUUAAGAUUUUCUAUCAUGAGUCUUAGAUCCUUGCAUUGCUGAGGAAAGCUAAGUCUAUCAAAAUCAGUCAUCGCACAGCGUGGUUGUUACCCUGUACAAUGUUCGCCUGGUUCUACUCACUUCACUCAUCUUCAAUUCAUGAUACAGCCCUAGAAAUGGUGUCUCCCUCACAGAGAAUGGUGAAACUCUGGGGACUCUGGAACUAGAGAGAUGUUGGUUUAAAGGGAGCCAAGCAAAGAGUGUGUGUAUGUGAGUGGUUGGGGUGAGGAUUGGAUUGGUGGAGGGUCAGGUUCUUCAGAAUGAUGAAAGAUUUUAAGGCAGAGGUGACAUUGAAGAUCUCCCUUAAUCUAUCUUUCUUUCUUCAACUCAAGACAAUUACCUAGUCUGGACCUGAGAAAGAAAACAAGGAUAUUCAAGUCUCCAAUUCCUGUUAAGGUGUCCUCAACCAGAGGAGGCUGCAUAUUCAGCACUUUCUGUUGACCAAUAUGGUGUUUGUAGAAAAACAAUUGAAUUAGGAAUGAUAGGAUAGAGGUUCAACUUUCAAUUUUGCCCCUUCCUAUCUUUAUGACCUUAGAAAAAUCUCUUAACAUUAUUGGUCAUCAGUUUCCUAUUCUGUAAAAUAAAGGAGAUUCUAAGAUCCCUUUAACUUUAUGCUCUCCAUAAAAUUUGGAGUUUAAUGGUAUUUUUAGCCGGGGUGAUCAGACUAGAUCAAGGUGAGGACAAAGGGUAGGGAGCAGUUGGUGGGAUCAUGAGAGACCUGGGACCAGGACUCAGGUGGAGGUUGGGUGGGGGGAUGGAAUGUAUAGGGGCAGGGGCACUAGGACCUGCCCAGAUUGUUGUCAGUAAAGUUGUUUUGCUGAUUUCAAAGUGCUAUAGUCAGGCAAUGAAGGGAGAUCUGCCUGCUGUGUUCAGCUUGAGGCACUGCCUGAGCCCUUCACCCUAAAAUGGGGUAAGGACAGUGAGGAGGAGCUGGAGGAAAGGCCAUCUUAAACCCCCCAAAAAGAGAAGAGGGAUUGAGCAGAGCCUAGAUGGCACAGUAAAGUUGGAGACUCACCUGAGCUCUUCCAAAUUUCCUUUUAAACAAUUCUCAGAACCAACAAAUGGUCAAGGUGAAACAAUUUUCCAGCCCAGUACAACUUACAAGGGUUGUAGGAAAGGUGUCAAGUGGUGGUGGUCAGACUUGGAGCCCAGAGAAGACAACAGCAGGUCUUGGAGAUAGUUCACCUUCUUCGUCAUCACCAUCACCAUCAUCACCAUCACCCAUCAUCAUCAUCAUCAUCAUCAUCAUCAUCACCAUCACCAUCACCA
Molecule: non-coding RNA, 1483 nt
Organism: Phascolarctos cinereus (koala)
Lineage: Eukaryota; Metazoa; Chordata; Mammalia; Diprotodontia; Phascolarctidae
Source: RefSeq, a predicted model, not a curated record